UUUAUAAUUGUGUCUUUUCUUCUAUUACCAAAAUCUCUUUCACUACCAACCUGAUAUUGAACAUGAUACAGAUGUCAAAAACCAGGAUUCCCAAUUCCCUAGGUAAAAAAAAUGACGUAAGCAAGACGACUAAACAACCGGGAGGGACCUUGGUCUUAUCGUUAUCUCGAGGGGGGGGGGGCAGCCACCCUUAUAACUGGCUUUCUUCAUGGUUCUCUAAAAAUUAAGGCUUUCCUUGCGAGACGAGAAUCUUCACCAUCUGAAUCAUGAAAAUCAACUCUGAUAGUGUUACCGCUAUGGUGGAACGCACCAUUAGGAGUGACUGACCUAGAUCAGGCUGGUUGCUGAUUCGUCCGUCCUUCUGGCAGGAGUUAGGUUAACGGACCCCUCCCUUAAUUCUAGUGGAAUGCACAGCAGGUGGAACGAAGGAUAUUUUGUGGAAGAAGACUUUGUGUCGGAAAUGCUGGCGAAAGUGGACAUAGGAGGAG
Molecule: long non-coding RNA, 488 nt
Organism: Ictalurus punctatus (channel catfish)
Lineage: Eukaryota; Metazoa; Chordata; Actinopteri; Siluriformes; Ictaluridae
Source: Ensembl